CCUACGGGCGGCUGCAGUCGAGAAUCAUUCACAAUGGGGGAAACCCUGAUGGUGCGACGCCGCGUGGGGGAAUGAAGGUCUUCGGAUUGUAAACCCCUGUCAUGUGGGAGCAAAUUAAAACGCUUGUACCACAUUAGGAAGAGCCGGCUAACUCUGUUCCAGCAGCCGCGGUAAUACAGCGGUCUCAAGCGUUGUUCGGCAUCACUGGGCGUAAGGGGUGCGUAGGCUGUUUUGUAAGUCGUGUGUGAAAGGCGCGGGCUCAACCCGCGGACGGCACAUGAUACUGCGAGACUAGAGUAAGGGAGAGGGAAGCGGAAUGCUCGGUGUAGCAGUGAAAUGCGUAGAUAUCGAGAGGAACACUCGUGGCGAAGGCGGGUUACUGGACAGUAACUGACGCUGAGGCACGAAGGCCAGGGGAGCGAAAGGGAUUAGAUACCCCUGUAGUC
This 446-nucleotide ribosomal RNA is filed under the name uncultured bacterium. RNAcentral describes it as "partial 16S ribosomal RNA". It matches the Rfam family "Bacterial small subunit ribosomal RNA", at positions 338 to 795 of the family's 1533-position model. The record is from RNAcentral.